GUGAGGAAUUUUCCGCAAUGGGCGAAAGCCUGACGGAGCAAUGCCGCGUGAAGGAUGAAGGCCUAUGGGUUGUAAACUUCUUUUCUCAGAAAAGAAUUAUGACGGUAUCUGAGGAAUAAGCAUCGGCUAACUCUGUGCCAGCAGCCGCGGUAAGACAGAGGAUGCAAGCGUUAUCCGGAAUGAUUGGGCGUAAAGCGUCUGUAGGUUGUUUAAAAAGUAUUCUGUCAAAGAUUAGGGCUUAACCCUAGAUAGGCAGAAUAAACUUUUAAGCUAGAGUUUGGUAGAGGCAGAAGGAAUUCCCGGUGGAGCGGUGAAAUGCGUAGAUAUCGGGAGGAACACCAAAGGCGAAGGCACUCUGCUGGGCCAAUACUAACACUGAGAGACGAAAGCGAGGGGAGCAAAUGGGAUUAGAAACCCGGGUAGUCC
This 426-nucleotide ribosomal RNA is filed under the name uncultured bacterium. RNAcentral's name for it is "partial 16S ribosomal RNA". It matches the Rfam family "Bacterial small subunit ribosomal RNA", at positions 354 to 796 of the family's 1533-position model. The record is from RNAcentral.